AAUGAACGCUGGCGGCGUGCUUAACACAUGCAAGUCGAACGAGAAAGGGAUUGCUUGCAAUCCCGAGUAGAGUGGCGCACGGGUGAGUAACACGUGGAUAAUCUACCUUUGAAUCCGGGAUAACUGCUCGAAAGGGUAGCUAAUACCGAAUGAAGUCAACAUUUCUUCGGGAGUAUUGAUGAAAGACAGCCUCUACAUGUAAGCUGUUGUUUGAAGAUGAGUCCGCGCACCAUUAGUUUGUUGGUGGGGUAACGGCCUACCAAGACUGUGAUGGUUAGCUGGUCUGAGAGGAUGAUCAGCCACACUGGAACUGACACACGGUCCAG
RNAcentral lists this ribosomal RNA (326 nucleotides) under uncultured bacterium. RNAcentral's name for it is "bacterial SSU rRNA". It matches the Rfam family "Bacterial small subunit ribosomal RNA", at positions 29 to 334 of the family's 1533-position model. The record is from RNAcentral.